CCUACGGGAGGCAGCAGUGAGGAAUAUUGGUCAAUGGGCGGGAGCCUGAACCAGCCAAGUCGCGUGAGGGAAGACGGUCCUAUGGAUUGUAAACCUCUUUAGGCGGGGAGCAAUGCCGGGCACGCGUGCCCGGAGGGAGAGUACCCGCAGAAUAAGCAUCGGCUAACUCCGUGCCAGCAGCGGCGGUCAUACGGAGGAUGCGAGCGUUAUCCGGAUUGAUUGGGUUUAAAGGGUGCGUAGGCGGAUUUGUAAGUCAGCGGUAAAAUGUCCGGGCUCAACCCGGGCCGGCCGUUGAAACUGGGGAUCUUGAGUGGGCGAGAAGUAUGCGGAAUGCGUGGUGUAGCGGUGAAAUGCAUAGAUAUCACGCAGAACUCCGAUUGCGAGGGCAGCAUACCGGCGCCCGACUGACGCUGAGGCACGAAAGCGUGGGGAUCGAACAGGAUUAGAUACCCUAGUAGUC
Molecule: ribosomal RNA, 460 nt
Filed under: uncultured bacterium
Lineage: Bacteria
Description: partial 16S ribosomal RNA
Rfam family: Bacterial small subunit ribosomal RNA
Source: RNAcentral